GACGAACGCUGGCGGCGUGCUUAACACAUGCAAGUCGAACGGAAAGGCCCCUAUGGGGGUCCUUGAGUGGCGGACGGGUGCGUAACACGUGGGUAACCUGCCCUUUAUUUCGGGUUAACUUCAGGAAAGUGGGGCUAAUAACGCAAAGAAAUCCUUGCUGCAUGGGGGGGGUUGGGAGGCUUCGGCGGUCUUGGAGGGAUGCUCGGCCUAUUGUCUGGUUGGUGGGGGAGUGGCUUACAAAGGCUUUGACGGGUAGCCGCCCCGAGAGGGAGAGCGGCCACAUUCGGACUGAGACAGGGCCCAGACGCCUACGGGAGGCAGCAGUGGGGGAUAUUGCACAAUGGGCAGAAGCCGGAUGCAGCAACGGCGCGUGCGUGGUGACGGCCUUCUGGCUGGAAACAGCUUUCAGCAGGGGCGAAGCUGGUGGUGACGGUACCUGCAGAAGAAGCACCGGCUAACUACGUG
This 465-nucleotide ribosomal RNA is filed under the name uncultured bacterium. RNAcentral's name for it is "partial 16S ribosomal RNA". It matches the Rfam family "Bacterial small subunit ribosomal RNA", at positions 28 to 507 of the family's 1533-position model. The record is from RNAcentral.